GUAGCGAACUUAAAAGUAGCGAAGCGUGUGGAGUCACUGUCAGGAAAAGCCGCUAUUGCGUAUCAUGAACCCGUACCGUAAACCGACACAGGUGGAUGAGGAGAGAAUCCUAAGGCCGACGGAAGAAGCAUUGUUAAGGAAUUCGGCAAAAUGACCCCGUAACUUCGGGAGAAGGGGUGCCUACGAAUGUAGGCCGCAGAGAAUUGGCCCAAGCAACUGUUUAGCAAAAACACAGGUUUAUGCGAAACCGAAAGGUGAAGUAUAUGAGCUGACGCCUGCCCGGUGCUGGAAGGUUAAGGGGAGAGCUUAGAGGCAACUCGAAGGUUCGAACUUAAGCCCCAGUAAACGGCGGCCGUAACUAUAACGGUCCUAAGGUAGCGAAAUUCCUUGUCGGGUAAGUUCCGACCCGCACGAAAGGCGUAAUGAUUUGGGCACUGUCUCGACAAUGCAUCCGGUGAAAUUGAAAUACCAGUGAAGAUGCUGGUUACCCGCGCCAGGACGGAAAGACCCCAUGGAGCUUUACUCCAGUUUGAUGCUGGGAUUCGGUACUGCAUGUACAGGAUAGGCGGGAGACUAGGAAGAUAUAACGCCAGUUGUAUCAGAGUCGCUGUUGGGAUACCGCCCUUGUAGUACUGGGUUUCUAACCUGCCACCGUGAACCGGUGGAGGGACAACGUCAGGCGGGGAGUUUGACUGGGGCGGUCGCCUCCGAAAGGGUAUCGGAGGCGCUCAAAGGUUCCCUCAGAAUGGUUGGAAACCAUUCGAAGAGUGCAAAGGCAGAAGGGAGCUUGACUGCGAGGUCGACGGACCGAGCAGGUACGAAAGUAGGACUUAGUGAUCCGGUGGUAGAAAGUGGGAUUGCCAUCGCUCAACGGAUAAAAGCUACCCUGGGAUAACAGGCUAAUCACUCCCAAGAGUUCACAUCGACGGAGUGGUUUGGCACCUCGAUGUCGGCUCAUCGCAUCCUGGGGCUGUAGCAGGUCCCAAGGGUUGGGCUGUUCGCCCAUUAAAGCGGUACGCGAGCUGGGUUCAGAACGUCGUGAGACAGUUCGGUCCCUAUCCGGCGCGGGCGUAGGAUAUCUGAAAGGAGCUGGCCUUAGUACGAGAGGACCGGGCUGGACGGACCGCUGGUGUAUCUGUUGUCAUACCAAUGGCAUAGCAGGGUAGCCAAGUCUGGAAGGGAUAAACGCUGAAGGCAUCUAAGCGUGAAGCCCCCCUUAAGAUAAGAUAUCCCUGGAGUUAAUCCAGUAAGACCCCUUGAAGACGACGAGGUAGAUAGGGCAGAGGUGGAAGUGUGGUAACACAUGGAGCUGACUGUCACUAAUAGGUCGAGGGCUUGACCU
This 1342-nucleotide ribosomal RNA is filed under the name metagenome. RNAcentral's name for it is "bacterial LSU rRNA". It matches the Rfam family "Bacterial large subunit ribosomal RNA", at positions 1568 to 2925 of the family's 2925-position model. The record is from RNAcentral.